GGAGACAUCCUGCGGAGGGUGGAGUCGAGCGACCGGCAGUGGCCGCUGCGGAAGAGCCUGGUAUCUUGCGCUUGCGUCUGCCGGAGGUGGCGCCAGGUCACCACCGGCGUCGUCGGGCCGCCCAGGGAGACUGGGACGAUUACCUUCGCUGCUUCCCUCAGGCAGGUAGGUUUUUGAUUUCGAGAACCCUUUUUGCUUCUCCAAAUUUCUACUUUCCCGCCUCCGCAUAAGAACUGGGGUAGAUGUCUUUGUGCUUCUACCGGCUUCCCUCGAGCAGGUAGGCUUUUGAUUUCAAUAAUUAUGCCGCUGUAUAAGAACUGAGGUCGGACCCAUUAUGCUUCUACCUGCUUCCCUCAAGCAGGCAGGUUUUUCAUUUCAAGAAUUAUGCUUCUCCAAAUUUCUAUUUUCCCGCCCCUAUAAGAAAUUGCUUGUAGAAAUUUGCUUAAUUUAACAUAAACUGAACUCUUUUGCUUAAUUUUAAUUCAAGAAUUAUGCUUCUCCAAAUUUAUCUCCCCGAUUUUGCUGUGUACGUUAAAAUUGAUUCUUUUAUAGAAAAUUGCUUAAUUUAACACGGACCAAACUAUACUUCCUGAUUUAUGCUUAUAUUUCUGUUCAUUUUUUACAAGCUAGGG
This 632-nucleotide long non-coding RNA is filed under the name Musa acuminata (dwarf banana). RNAcentral's name for it is "long non-coding RNA (MACU_LNC003922)". Lineage: Eukaryota; Viridiplantae; Streptophyta; Magnoliopsida; Zingiberales; Musaceae. The record is from RNAcentral.